GCAAUAUAACCUUCAUAGUCUUCUGCAACUUAGCAAAAUUUCUCAUAUAACAGCUUUGCACGCCUGCCUGGGCUGAUGAAACAUACAACUUAAUCAUCGAGGGCCAAGAGCCAAGGUGAUUGCUGGAAGAGAGAGUCAAACAUCACAGCCUAUGUGCAAGGAAGGUCUGGGGCCCCACGGAACUCAGUGGAAAACAGUGCUCUUUGGAACUGGACCCUAUUAAAGAUGGAACCAUGAAGUGCCAUGUCCCUGGUGACACCACGAGUUAGUGCUGGAAGCCAAAGGCAGCCCAGGAGAGUGGGUCAGUGGGGGUGGGCACCACCCUGAGAGUUGACUCAGCCUCAGCAGGAGCCUCCCUUGGAAGCACCCGGGAAGCCCUUGCUGAGGGCUGGGAUCCUCUUCCCCCAGGACAGGCAGGGAAGAGAGAAUCACCCAUUGCAAAGUAAUGACACCUCAACUGUCUCCAAGAACACGAGUGAUUGAGUCCGUUGUCAUUCAUGUCCCAUUGCUCCAGAAUCAAAUGUUAGCAGCCAAGAAGGAUGUCAGCACCUUCCAUUGUCACCAUCCCCAAAUCUGCUUUCCACAGCUUCGAGAAGGACUGUUAGCUUGGAUGGGCAGACUCUACACCCCCAGGCAGAACUGAGUCCCCUCUUCCCUGGGAAGGCAUGCCAAGCAAGCACAUCUUGAGGGGGCAGCCAGGAGCAGAAGUCUUGAAGAACUUAAAAGCAUAAGUUUGCACUAGAAAGCCAAAUUGCUAAACUGGAACGAACUCACAGUUUGGACAGGGACAAAGAGAUUGAGAUGUGAAAGGAAAGAUCUCAGUGUCGACUUCCAGGAGCUUUGCAUUUCCUGUGGCAAAGUUUGCCCACCCCUGAGUCUGCCACCAACACUGAAAACUCCCAGCUCAGCCGCCUUCCUUCCAAUCUUGACAUCAGUCCAAAAACCAGGUGAGGAAACCGACUGCAGAGAGGUGGCGUGACUAGCUGUCGUCACACAGCUAGCUAGAGCCUGAGCUGUGCUGGUUGCCAGUUGCGCUGACUCCCAGAGCCC
Molecule: long non-coding RNA, 1050 nt
Filed under: Equus caballus (horse)
Lineage: Eukaryota; Metazoa; Chordata; Mammalia; Perissodactyla; Equidae
Description: lncRNA (ENSECAG00000051247.1)
Source: RNAcentral